This 646-nucleotide ribosomal RNA is filed under the name Hymenolepis sp. GP-2016. RNAcentral describes it as "bacterial SSU rRNA". It matches the Rfam family "Eukaryotic small subunit ribosomal RNA", at positions 536 to 992 of the family's 1831-position model. The record is from RNAcentral. Lineage: Eukaryota; Metazoa; Platyhelminthes; Cestoda; Cyclophyllidea; Hymenolepididae.
CACGAGGAUCAAUUGGAGGGCAAGUCUGGUGCCAGCAGCCGCGGUAACUCCAGCUCCAAUAGCGUAUAUUAAAGUUGCUGCAGUUAAAAAGCUCGUAGUUGGAUCUCGGUAGCAUUGUUGCCUGCUCAGUUGUCAUGCUCUGCGGCGUGCAUCACAUCGUGCUUGCUUGCAUUAUCCACGCUCUCUCAUGGGCUGGGUGUGUGGGCAUCGCGGUGGGUGUACACUUAAACCGUAGUGUAUUGAGCUGGCGUGGCGAUGGUGUCACCUUUGAGCCAUGUCUGUGGUUUAACAGCCACAGGUGUAAUCGAGUGUCGGGCAGUGCUCUGCACCUGUUGUGGGGCCUAGCCGGCUCGUUUGCAUGCCAAUGAAUGCCCUUCAAAAGGUGUUCAUGGGCGGAUGGCACGUUUACUUUGAACAAAUUUGAGUGCUCAAAUCAGGCCGAUGUCGCCUGAAAAGUUUUGCAUGGAAUAAUGGAAUAGGACUUCGGUUCUAUUUCGUUGGUUUUCGGAUCCGAAGUAAUGAUCAAAAGAGACAGGCGGGGACGUUUGUAUGGCUGCGUUAGAGGUGAAAUUCAUGGAUCGUAGCCAGACAGACUAAAGCGAAAGCAUUCGUCAAGCAUGUUUUCAUUGGCCAUGAGCGAAAGUCA